GAGUGUCCUUCAGACACUGGGAUGGCUGCACCUUUACCCGUCCUCUCCAACUCUCUCCACCUAGAAAGUAUUCUUUUCUCUUAAUUUUGUUAGAGUUAUAUAGGAAUGCUCCUUCAGCAGAAAUGACAGAGGCUGUUGCUCUCAGAAUCAAAUGCAAUAAUGUGACCUGUAAAUUCCUGUGAAUAUUUGGAUAUUUUAGCGAUAUUUGUUUAUUCAGAAGAGAUUCUGGAUGCAGAACUCUCCUCCUCUCUGUUCUCUAACCCUGCUUUCCACCAUCAUUCUUCUCUCUCUAGGGCACAGAGAGAAUUAAGAACAACCUAAGGGUCAUUACAAUGAUCUAACUGCCUUACCUGCUUUUGAACUGGUUGAGCCUCUUGUGGGACCGAAAACAAAAGAAGGGUGUUGAAAUGCAAAUAGAUAACUCUGGGUCCCAGUCCCUGACUGCAAAAGGAAGCCAAAACUGACAACAACGUCUCCUUCUCUACGGAGGUUUGUAGAAAGGCUGUACAAAAAUCUCACAAGAUGUAUUUCUUCUCGUGGACUGGAGUCCCAAGGUGCUUAAGAGCUCUUCAAUUUGUUAAUGGAAAGAAACACCAUUUACACCGGAUGGCUACAAAGCAACCUUAUUCUGAUCUUUUCUCAGAAUAGCAGUCUGUAGGCUGUCACCUAAAGUGUCCUGUUUUCAGUGCUGCACCUGCUCUGAGCUUCAUCUUUUUACGAAGACGUCAUGGUGUGCUAUCUGUACUGGGAAACUUUCCCCAGCAUCAGCCAUCUCCUGAAGAUAACAUUGUCUGCUAGAGAUUGUCAUGUAUGUGGAUUGAAUCUCUUUAUCUUCAUGGUCCUCUUUCUGUGCCCCCAGCCCGGUUGACAAUGUGUGCCUUCACUCACCCAAUUAGAAACCUUGGAGGUAUCCUGUACUCUUCUGUCACUUACCCUCAGCCUAAAGCCAAUCAGUCACCAAAGUAUUGUCUGUCAUUAUCAUCAUCAUCAUCAUCAUCACUGUCACCACUGAUGGAGUGAGAACCUUGUGCAGUUGAGCAUGAACCCCAAUUUCAUUUGCAAAAUGACCCAGACAGCAGAUUUCAUCUCAUAUGAAAUAAGCAAGGUGAGGUUUUGAUGACGUUACAGACAUGGCUAAGAAGAGGUUGAGAACCAGCAUUCAGCCCACCUGACUCCAAAGCUCAUGCCCCGAACCUCAGAAACUUCUCCAGUGAGUUCCUUUUUUUUAAUGGCAGGAUCACACCAUUAGUUUGGACUGGAUCCAACCUGGAUUGUUGCAACAGCCUUUGAUCUGAUCUGUCAAGCCCUGUGCCUUCUGUGCAACCCAUUCUCUACCCUGGCACGAGCAUUACUAAAAUACCAAUCUGGUCCUAUGACUCCUCUGCAUAAAAACCACGGCUGGGGCUGGUCAAGUGCA
This 1417-nucleotide long non-coding RNA is filed under the name Homo sapiens (human). RNAcentral describes it as "long intergenic non-protein coding RNA 862". Lineage: Eukaryota; Metazoa; Chordata; Mammalia; Primates; Hominidae. The record is from RNAcentral.